GAUGAACGCUGGCGGCGUGCCUAAUACAUGCAAGUCGAGCGAACGGACGAAAAGCUUGCUUUUCUGAUGUUAGCGGCGGACGGGUGCGUACCACGUGGAUAACCUACCUAUACGACUGGGAUAACUUCGGGAAACCGGAGCUAAGACCGGAUAAUAUUUUGAACCGGAUGGUUCAAAAGUGAAAGAAGGUCUUGCUGUCGCUUAUAGAUGGAUCCGCGCUGCAUUAGCUAGUUGGUAAGGUAAUGGCUUACCAACGCAACUAUGCAUAGCCGCCCUGAGGGGGAGGUUCCACAGCUGGGAUCGGAGACACAGCCCAGACCCCGACGGGAGGCAACAGUAGGGAAUCUUACGGAAUGGGCGAGAGCCUGACGGUGGAACGUCGGCUGAAGGAUGAAGGACUUCUGAUGGGUAAGCGCUGUUAGUAGUGAAGUUCAUAUGUUUAAGUAACUGUGCACAUCUUGACGGUACCGAAUCAGAAAGCCCCGGCUAACUACGUG
Molecule: ribosomal RNA, 497 nt
Filed under: uncultured bacterium
Lineage: Bacteria
Description: partial 16S ribosomal RNA
Rfam family: Bacterial small subunit ribosomal RNA
Source: RNAcentral